GCCGAGCGCCUCCGCCGCCGCCGCCGCCUCCUCAUUCAAGUCCAAGGAGAUCGGGUUUCGCUCCGAGACCGCGGCCGGAGGCAGGCAGACGGUCUGACGUCAGCGCUAGACGGGGCUGCCGGUUCCCACCGCGCGGGGGCCGGGGAGGGGGCGCGCGCUGCGCCAAUCCCCGCCGAGGUUCCCCCGCACCCCCUUCCCGGGCCGCGGGGCGGGGUGACGGGGAAGGGGGCGGGCUCUUAAAGGGCCAGAGCGAGGCGGCCCGCGUAGACCCGGGGCGGCGGGGCGGGGGGCCGCGCUGCGCCUCCGCGCCUCCUGGGCCGGUUUGGAGCGCGUGGCCCGACCCGCGGGCCCGGGGAAGCGCGGCUCGCAGGCAGCCUCGCCCCUGGGUCCCGGGGUCCUCGCCCCAGGUUUAGGGGAAGCCUGUCCUCUCCCGGAGCAGGUCCCCGGACUCAGGGCGCGGGGAACUGGACAAGACGAGGGGCGCCCCCCAUCACCAUCACCUAACAUCGAGGCCUCGAGGCCCCUGGCGCCCCCCGCUGCGCACUUUACCCCGACCCCCAGGAGGUCGCCCGGGGGAGGCUGGAAUUCGUGUCGACACGCCCCGGACGGCUCCGAGAACCGCCCGGGAGCCCUUGUCAUCCCAUCGGACAAACUCUCGGGAGCUUGGACCCUUUCUGCUGGGCACUCAGGAUGCCAGGAACAACCCCUGCCCUCUAAAUCUCUCGCAGAGGCUCCAAGGCUGUCUGGCAGUGAAAAAUCCCGCACUUCGUCUUGGAAAUGAAGCAGCAUUUACUCAAUCAAGACUGAACCACCAGCAGACAAAAAUAACCAGUGAAUUCAAUGGAUUAAAAAAAAAAAAAAAACCCGCCUUAGCCACAACAUUGACCUCUGGUUGAUCUGCCUGGGACAACAGCACCGGCCACAUUUCCUGAGCACCUACAGUAUGCCAUCACUGCUCUAACUAACGGUGGCCCUGGGACUGGUUCGUGGUCUGUGCCCUGGUUCCAACGUUGGUUCUGCUGGGGGUCUGAAGUGGGGUGUCGGGCACGGAGGCCACAACCGCAUCUCUAAAGAUGGGUGGGACGCGUGACCUUGGCAAGUCCUUUCACCUGUCCCACCUCAGUUACCUCCUCUGCAAAAAUGGCCUCCCUAAUGGUGUCCUUGACCGGGGUGAUGGUGAGUGACGAAUAAAGGAGUCAGUGCCGC
This 1206-nucleotide long non-coding RNA is filed under the name Vulpes vulpes (red fox). Its description in RNAcentral is "lncRNA (ENSVVUG00000017176.1)". Lineage: Eukaryota; Metazoa; Chordata; Mammalia; Carnivora; Canidae. The record is from RNAcentral.